Molecule: transfer RNA, 73 nt
Filed under: Dactylellina haptotyla CBS 200.50
Lineage: Eukaryota; Fungi; Ascomycota; Orbiliomycetes; Orbiliales; Orbiliaceae
Description: tRNA-Thr (AGT) (tRNA-Thr-AGT-2-1)
Source: RNAcentral
GCGGGUUUAGCUCAGUUGGGAGAGCGUCAGGUCAGUUAUCUGAAGGUCGUGUGUUCGAUCCACACAAAUCGCA